Molecule: ribosomal RNA, 660 nt
Filed under: uncultured bacterium
Lineage: Bacteria
Description: bacterial SSU rRNA
Rfam family: Bacterial small subunit ribosomal RNA
Source: RNAcentral
GGCUAAUACCGCAUACGUCCUACGGGAGAAAGCAGGGGAUCUUCGGACCUUGCGCUAUCGGAUGAGUCUAUGUCGGAUUAGCUUGUUGGUGAGGUAAUGGCUCACCAAGGCGACGAUCCGUAGCUGGUCUGAGAGGAUGAUCAGCCACAUCGGGACUGAGACACGGCCCGAACUCCUACGGGAGGCAGCAGUGGGGAAUAUUGGACAAUGGGCGAAAGCCUGAUCCAGCCAUGCCGCGUGUGUGAAGAAGGCCUUCGGGUUGUAAAGCACUUUCAGUGGGGAAGAAAGCCUUGGGGCUAAUACCCUCGAGGAAGGACAUCACCCACAGAAGAAGCACCGGCUAACUCCGUGCCAGCAGCCGCGGUAAUACGGAGGGUGCGAGCGUUAAUCGGAAUUACUGGGCGUAAAGCGCGCAUAGGCGGUCUGAUAAGCCGGUUGUGAAAGCCCCGGGCUCAACCUGGGAACGGCAUCCGGAACUGUCAGGCUAGAGUGCAGGAGAGGAAGGUAGAAUUCCCGGUGUAGCGGUGAAAUGCGUAGAGAUCGGGAGGAAUACCAGUGGCGAAGGCGGCCUUCUGGACUGACACUGACGCUGAGGUGCGAAAGCGUGGGUAGCAAACAGGAUUAGAUACCCUGGUAGUCCACGCCGUAAACGAUGUCGAC